CCUAAUACAUGCAAGUCGAACGAGAAGCCCGCAAAGGUUGUAAAGUGGCGGACGGGUGCAUAACACGUGGGUAAUCUACCCUUUGGUCUGAGAUAACCUGCCGAAAGGCGGGCUAAUACCGGAUAAGACCACAGCCCUGAGGGGUGGUGGGAAAAGGCCCGCAAGGGUCGCCGAUCGAUGAGCCCGCGGCCUAUCAGGUAGUUGGUGAGGUAAUGGCUCACCAAGCCUACGACGGGUAGCUGGUCUGAGAGGACGACCAGCCACACUGGAACUGAGACACGGUCCAGACUCCUACGGGAGGCAGCAGUGGGGAAUAUUGCGCAAUGGGCGAAAGCCUGACGCAGCAACGCCGCGUGGGUGAUGAAGGCCUUCGGGUUGUAAAGCCCUGUCGCCCGGGACGAACAAGCUCGUGAAUAGCGAGCCCUGACGGUACCGGGAGAGGAAGCACCGGCUACUCUGUCCAGCAGCCGCGGUAAUACAGAGGGUGCUAGCGUUGUUCGGAAUUAUUGGGCGUAAAGGGCGCGUAGGCGGCCUCGCAUGUCGAAUGUGAAAGCCCACCUCUUAAAGGUGGAAUUGCAUUCGAAACUGCAAGGCUAGAGUGCCGGAGAGGGGUGGGGGGAAUUCCUGGUGUAGAGGUGAAAUUCGUAGAUAUCAGGAGGUCCACCGUGUCGAAGCCGGCCACCGGGACGGUAUCUGACGCUGAGGCGCGAAAGCGUGUGGAGCAAACUCGAUUAGAUACCCUGGUAGUCCUCGCCGUAAACGAUGGGUGGUAUGGUUGGGGUAUUGACUCCCGCAGUGCCGUCGCUAACGCAUUAAGCACCCCGCCUGGGGAGUACGGCCGCAAGGCUAAAACUCAAAGGAAUUGACGGGGGUCCGCACAAGCGGUGGAGCAUGUGGUUCAAUUCGACGCAACGCGCAGAACCUUACCUGGGCUUGACAUCCUCCGAAUCUUUUGGAAACAAGAGAGUGCUUCCCGCAAGGGAAGAGCGGGGAGACAGGUGCUGCAUGGCUGUCGUCAGCUCGUGUCGUGAGAUGUUGGGUUAAGUCCCGCAACGAGCGCAACCCUCGUCUUUAGUUGCCAGCAGGUAAAGCUGGGCACUCUAGAGAGACUGCCGGCGUCAAGCCGGAGGAAGGUGGGGAUGACGUCAAGUCCUCAUGGCCUUUAUGCCCAGGGCUACACACGUGCUACAAUGGCACCCACAAACCGACGCUAACUCGCGAGAGCACGCUAAUCGGAAAAAAGGUGCCUCAGUUCAGAUUGCAGUCUGCAACUCGACUGCAUGAAGGCGGAAUCGCUAGUAAUCGCGCAUCAGCACGGCGCGGUGAAUACGUUCCCGGGCUUUG
Molecule: ribosomal RNA, 1344 nt
Filed under: uncultured bacterium
Lineage: Bacteria
Description: bacterial SSU rRNA
Rfam family: Bacterial small subunit ribosomal RNA
Source: RNAcentral